UAAAGACUUUCUAUUGGCUUAAACCUAUUGU
RNAcentral lists this non-coding RNA (31 nucleotides) under Mus musculus (house mouse). The record is from RNAcentral. Lineage: Eukaryota; Metazoa; Chordata; Mammalia; Rodentia; Muridae.